This 100-nucleotide non-coding RNA is filed under the name unclassified sequences. The record is from Rfam.
CUGACGGCCGCGUCCGGGUCAAUUGCGGACUGCAACACCCGAUCUCCCUCCUCCUCCCCGACGGGAUGGAGGUGUCCGAAGGAGAGCGCGUCGCCAUCAG